AGAGUUUGAUCCUGGCUCAGAACGAACGCUGGCGGCAGGCUUAACACAUGCAAGUCGAACGCACCGCAAGGUGAGUGGCAGACGGGUGAGUAACGCGUGGGAACGUGCCCUUCAGUUCGGAAUAACCCAGGGAAACUUGGGCUAAUACCGGAUACGUGCGAGAGCAGAAAGAUUUAUCGCUGAAGGAUCGGCCCGCGUCUGAUUAGCUAGUUGGUAGGGUAAUGGCCUACCAAGGCGACGAUCAGUAGCUGGUCUGAGAGGAUGAUCAGCCACAUUGGGACUGAGACACGGCCCAAACUCCUACGGGAGGCAGCAGUGGGGAAUAUUGGACAAUGGGCGCAAGCCUGAUCCAGCCAUGCCGCGUGAGUGAUGAAGGCCUUAGGGUUGUAAAGCUCUUUCAGCGGGGACGAUAAUGACGGUACCCGCAGAAGAAGCCCCGGCUAACUUCGUGCCAGCAGCCGCGGUAAUACGAAGGGGGCUAGCGUUGUUCGGAAUCACUGGGCGUAAAGGGCGCGUAGGCGGCUUGAUAAGUCGGGGGUGAAAGCCUGUGGCUCAACCACAGAAUUGCCUUCGAUACUGUCUGGCUUGAGACCGGAAGAGGUAAGUGGAACUGCGAGUGUAGAGGUGAAAUUCGUAGAUAUUCGCAAGAACACCAGUGGCGAAGGCGGCUUACUGGUCCGGUUCUGACGCUGAGGCGCGAAAGCGUGGGGAGCAAACAGGAUUAGAUACCCUAGUAGUCC
Molecule: ribosomal RNA, 740 nt
Filed under: uncultured bacterium
Lineage: Bacteria
Description: bacterial SSU rRNA
Rfam family: Bacterial small subunit ribosomal RNA
Source: RNAcentral